Long non-coding RNA from Oncorhynchus gorbuscha (pink salmon), 2989 nucleotides. RefSeq lists it as uncharacterized. The transcript is spliced from 3 exons. The record is from RefSeq and is a predicted model, not a curated record. Lineage: Eukaryota; Metazoa; Chordata; Actinopteri; Salmoniformes; Salmonidae.
UAAGCCAAUACAACGCAGGAGUAUUCUUCGCAGGAUUGGCUUCGGGACAAGUGGCCCAGCCAAAGCCCGGACUUGAACCCGAUCAAACAUCUAUUGAUGCGCCGCUCUCCAUCCAACUUGACAGAGCUUGAGAGGAUCUGCAGAGAAGAAUAGGAGAAACUCCCCAAAUACAGACAGACAGAACAAGAAGACACACCGAGUGACCGCAGAGAAGAUGCGGAGACAGAUAGAAAGCACAACAGGCCCUCAACAUUCUACUUUUCUACAUUUGGUGGCAGCAGUGGUCCCAGGCCAGCAGGGGGCCACCUAGAAUGAGAAGAAGGUUAGCACCAGGAGCACGCUGACGAAGUUGGCUGAAUCAGGAGAACAGCCGGAGCAGGAGUUCCGUGAGGAUGAAGAAGAGUUUGGGAAUCCAGAGGGAGAAAAUGAGAAUGAUGGUGGCGCCAGGAACGGGGCAGUGCCAGGCACAGAGCCUAUGCCACCAGAAAUUGCUGAUCUGGGUCAGUCUCUACGGGCCUUCAUGUGGAACCAGCAUGAGAGGAAGCACCAAGUGAAGGAGUCCAUUUCUAAAAACAACUAUUUACAGUUGUUUGUAACUUUUUUUGUACAUAUUGUUUCUGCCACCAUGUCUUAUGACCGAAAAUAGCUUUUUGACAGCAGAACAGCGAAUGCUCACUUCCGACUGGACAAAGAUUUUUUUUCUUUAAUGAUUCGGAGGUGAAAGAUUUACACCUCCUACUGGACCAGGCCCAAAUCCCCAUCAUUCGCAUGAAGAGGAGAUGCUGAUACAGAGGGUGCAGCUUUGGGUGCUUGGUGAGAAUUUGUUGGUGAGUGGAUAAUCCACCGUUACCAUCCGUCCGACUAGUGAACGUGCGAUCAUUGGAGAAUAAACUGGAUGAGCUCCAUUCGAGACUAUCCUGCCAAUGGCACAUUAAAACUGUAAUAUCUUAUGUUUCACCGAGUUGUGGCUGAACGAGGACUUGGAAAAUAUAGAGUUGGCUGAGUUUCCGUGCAUCAGCAAGACAGAACAGCAACCACCGGUAAGAUGGGGGUGGUGGUCUGUCUAUUUGUCAAUAACAGCUGGUGCGCUAAGGAAGUCUUGAGGUUUUGCUCGCCUGAGGUAGAGUACCUCAUGAUAAGCUGUAGACCACACUAUUUACCAAGAGAGUUUUCAUCUAUAUUUCUCGUAUCUGUCUAUUUACCAUCACAAACCGAUGCAGGCACUAAGACUGCACUCAACGAGCUGUAAGGCCAUAAGAAAACAAGCGAAAGCUCACCCUGAAGCGGAUUCAUCUGAUGGCAUUGAGGAGAAUGUGACUUAAUAUGGCUUAAUCAAUAAUCGCAUUGACGACAUCGUCCCCACAGUGACACUACACACGUACGUACACAUCCUAACCAGAAGCCAUGGAUUACAGGCAACAUCUGCACUGAGCUAAAGGCUAGAGCUGCUGCUUUCCAGGAGCGGGACACUAAUCCAGACGCUCUAUAAGAAAUCCCGCUAUACCCUCUAACAAACCAUCAGGCAAGCGUCCAAACAGGACUAAACUGGGACUAAACACCUCCCUCUAGAACUGGAUCCUGGAUUUCUGGACGGGCUGCCCCCAGAUGGUAAAGAUUCGCAACAACACAUCUGCCACACUGAUCGUCAACACGGGGUCCCUCAGGGUUUAGUCCCAAUAUUUUUAUUUUACCAUUAUUUUAUUAGGCAAGUCAGUUAAGAACAAAUUCUUAUUUUCAAUGACGGCCUAGGAACAGUGGGUUAACUGCCUGUUCAGGAGCAGAACGACAGAUUUUGGUUACUAGUCCAAUGCUCUAACCACUAGGCUACCCUGGCAUGGGUCCUCAGAUCCUCAAAAGGUUCUGCAGUUGGAAUCAAGAGCAUCCUUACUGGUUGCAUCACCGCUUCGUAUGGCAACUUCUCGGCAUCCGACCACAAGGCACUAUAGAGGGUAGUGCGCACGGCCCUAUACAUCACUGGGGCCAAGCUUCCUGCCAUCCAGGACCUCUAUACAAGGCGGUGUCAGAGGAAGACCUCACAAAUUGUCCUUGACUCUAGCCACCCUAGUCAAAGACUGUUCACUCAGCUAACGCACGGCAAGCGGUACCUUCAGCAGCCUCCUCUGCUACUCCAGAUAUUUCACUCUUAUUCUACACCUGUUGUCUACAAAACAUGUGACAAAUAAAAUUGGAUUUGAUAUGAUUUGAUGUCACUGUACAGAACAAUCCCUAGCUGAUGGUAGGAGCAUCUCGCUCUGAUACUCUAACAACCCAAACUACCCCAAAAGGUAUAAUAGCCUUACACUCACAUUCAAGCUUUCACAACUCAUUCUAUCAACAUAGUAAUGUUUAUUUUGACAUCAUGUAUUGUUACCACUACCAUUUAGCAUAAGGUUGAAAUGUUAUUUUAAUUUUAUACUCAUUCUCCUAAAACAGGCUGUCUGAAAUACAUUUCCCAGAAUGCACUGCAUCAAACACUACAGUAUGGAAGAGAACAAUAUAACAAUUUAACAAUCUUAUGACAAAGAAAAAUAAUGUUUGAGUUAUCUUUGAGUUAUAAUCAAACACAUUUUUUUAAACGGUCUGUGUAUUCUAUGCAUAAAUGGUCUGUGUAUUCCUUUCAUAUUUCACUUCUCAGUUGAAAAGAUUUGAAAUGGUUUAAUUAAAUUACACUUCCUUUCAUUCAAAUUCAAUUCAAAUGAUGCUUCCUUUGAGAUGUGGCCAAUUCAAAUUCAUUUUUUGGGGUCAAUUCGGAAUGAAUAAAAUUCAAACAAACAAUUUUAAUUGAAUUUGAGUUGGCCUCACCCCAUAGGUGUGUCAAUUGGCCCCCGAUGAUAUCAAAGCAGGACAGAACUUAUAGUGUGCAUUGUCCCAUGAAACGUCAUAACCAUAUACAAUCAGUGAACAGAGGCAUAGAAAACAUUGACCUAAUGAAACACUGAGUGUGUGUAUAUUAUAAUAUUUACUGUAACAAACUAAAAUGACCAAUUGA